RNAcentral lists this transfer RNA (66 nucleotides) under Limbodessus compactus. RNAcentral describes it as "tRNA-Asn". RNAcentral also lists the same sequence under 1 other name. Lineage: Eukaryota; Metazoa; Arthropoda; Insecta; Coleoptera; Dytiscidae. The record is from RNAcentral.
UUAAUUGAAGCCAAAAUAGAGGCAUAUCACUGUUAAUGAUAUAAAUGAAUAAAAAUUCCAAUUAAA